This 253-nucleotide ribosomal RNA is filed under the name uncultured bacterium. RNAcentral's name for it is "partial 16S ribosomal RNA". It matches the Rfam family "Bacterial small subunit ribosomal RNA", at positions 524 to 776 of the family's 1533-position model. The record is from RNAcentral.
UACGAGGGGUGCGAGCGUUGCUCGGAAUUAUUGGGCGUAAAGGGUAGGUAGGUGGUCUUAUUUGUCUGGGGUGAAAGCCUUGAGCUUAACUCAAGAAGUGCCCCAGAAACGGUAAGACUAGAGUCUUGGAGAGGGUCGUGGAAUUCCCGGUGUAGCGGUGAAAUGCGUAGAGAUCGGGAGGAACACCAGAGGCGAAGGCGGCGACCUGGACAAGUACUGACACUCAACUACGAAAGCGUGGGGAGCAAACAGG